RNAcentral lists this long non-coding RNA (2387 nucleotides) under Fragaria vesca (wild strawberry). RNAcentral's name for it is "long non-coding RNA (FVES_LNC000855)". The record is from RNAcentral. Lineage: Eukaryota; Viridiplantae; Streptophyta; Magnoliopsida; Rosales; Rosaceae.
UCUCUCUCUCUCUCUCUCUCUCUCUCUCUCUCUCUCUCUCUCUCUUUUGCGCCAUCUUCCUCUUUUGUGGUUGAUGAUGCGUCCUCGUCACCAGAAAGAGGAAGAUGGCGCAGAGGAUGGAAGGGGUCGGCUUCAGACUCACAAGAUGGCGCAAAAGGAAGAUGUAAAGGGUCGAUUUCGGAUCUGUAAGUCCCGUUUCGCAUUUGCUUGCAAUUUCAUUUUUGAAUCUUCUUUCUUUAUAACCAAUUGGUUCAAGUUUCAAUCUUUUCUAAAUCUCCUUUCUUAUAACCAAUUCGUUCAAGUUUCAAUCUUUUCUUGAAGUGCGGCCUCUCCAGAUUCAGAUUUGGGCGGAAAGUUGGUCUGAUCUGUAAGUCUCAUUUCGCACCAACACAUAUCCGACGCAGAUCUUUAAGUUCCUUUAUUGGGCCGGUGUUUUCGGCCUAUAAAGGUUUAUUAGGCCUAUUGGUCCAAUUGUUGUUUUUAAUUUCUUUCUUGUUGUAAAUAUUAUAAUAUAUGUGGAUGUCCUUGUAAAUACUUAUUAGUUAUGUCCUUAAUAUGUAAAUCAUACUCCUAUAUAAAGGUGCCUAAUGAGAAUGAAAGUGACACUUCUUCCUCCUCCUACAUUUUGUUCUUCUCUUUUCUCUCUAUCUCAUUCUUAGUUUAUAACACGUUAUCAGCACGAUUUCGCUCAUUCGUUCCAUAAACUCCAUGACGAUCUAUGAGAUAUUGGUGCAACUUUUGUUGCUUAUUAUCCAUACUCACGAUCUAUGAGUUCACUUCUAUUUUGAUUAUAUCUUGUCUACAUAUAUACUUUGUUUAUAUUACUCAAUUUUAUGUUUACAAUUGCUUAUAUUAGUGAGCCUGAAGUUUCGCUAAUAAUUCUCAAAUAUGAACUUUUUGAGAUUAUGAACCUGAAGUUCAAAUAUUACAGUAGACUUGCAAUUCUAAUUGUUUGCAUAAACCUGAAGUUUUGUGCAUGUACAUGUGAUCCAUUGUUCACAAAAUUCGAACCUGAAGUUUCGAUAUUGAUAUUACUUUCUAUAUNNNNNNNNNNNNNNNNNNNNCUCUCUCUCUCUCUCUCUCUCUCUCUCUCUCUCUCUCUCUCUCUCUCUCUCUCUCUCUCUCUCUCUCUCUCUCUCUCCUGUGUCAUCUUCCUCUUUUGUGGUUGAUGAUGCGUCCUCACCACCAGAAAGAGGAAGAUGGCGCAGAGGAUGGAAGGGGUUGGCUUUGGACUCACAAGAUGGCGCAGAAGGAAGAUGUAAGGGGUCGAUUUCGGAUCUGUAAGUCUUGUUUCGCAUCUACUUGCGAAGUCGUUUUUGAAUCUUCUUUCUUUAUAACCAAUUGGUUCAAGUUUCAAUGUUUUCUAAAUCUCCUUUCUUUUUGUAACCAAUUCGUUCAAGUUUCAAUAUUUUCUCGGAGUGCGGCCGCUCUAGAUUCAGAUUUGGGCUAAAAAUUGGUCGGAUCUGUAAGUCUCAUUUCGCACCAGCACAGAUCCGACGCAGAUCUCUGCGUUCCUUUAUUGGGCCAGUGUUUUCGGCCUAUAAAGGUUUAUUGGGCCUGUUGGUCCAAUUGUUGUUUUUAAUUUCUUUCUUAUUAUUUUUUUAAAAUACAACAUCAUUAUUGUUUUUUGUGUUCUGGGCCCGUAGGUAUUGGGCUCGGGCUUGGGCCUGUCUGGUAUUUUUAAUUUCUUUUUGUAAAAAUAAAAUCAAAAUACAUUGGGCUUCAGAAAGCUCCAACUUUUGUUAUAUGGGCAUGUUGGGUUGUUGUGUCCAUAUUGAAGGGAGGUAUGUUUUACCCUUGUUACCCUAGUUGCUCACUAUAAAUGUUAACUCCUUUCUCCUGAGCCUUCAACCCCAUUCUGUUAUGGUUAUUUCCUCUCUCCCUCUCUCUCUCUCUUAUCUCAUCUGUUACUCUGUAUUUCUUUCUCUCACUGUUUUUAGUUACUCUCUAACUUUUCUCUUCUUGUUUUUGGUAAAACAGCAAUGAACAGAGAUAGAACAAGGGAGGGAGCAACACAAUGUGAUUCAUUUCGAAGUCAAAAAAGUAGUUAGUAGCUUAGCAGCUUAGCAAGGCCGAAAAUGCUCCAAAAGCCACAUGUUGAAUGAAAAGGCAAGUGUUAAAAGAAAAAAUCUUUCAUCUUUGGAGCAAUUGAGUUGGUAAAAUCAUGUCUUUUGUGGUAAAAUCAAGCUUUCAUCUCUCUCUCUCNNNNNNNNNNNNNNNNNNNNUUUUAUGUUUACAAUUGCUUAUAUUAGUGAGCCUGAAGUUUCGCUAAUAAUUCUCAAAUAUGAACUUUUUGAGAUUAUGAACCUGAAGUUCAAAUAUUACAGUAGACUUGCAAUUCUAAUUGUUUGCAUAAACCUGAAGUUUUGUGCAUGUACAUGUGAUCC